GACGAACGCUGGCGGCGUGCUUAACACAUGCAAGUCGAACGGUGACGGAGAGCUUGCUCUCCUGAUCAGUGGCGAACGGGUGAGUAACACGUGGGCAACCUGCCCCAGACUUCGGGAUAACGCUUCGAAAGAGGUGCUAAUACCGAAUACGAACGCCGUGGGCAUCCACGGUGUUGGAAAGUUUUUCGGUCUGGGAUGGGCCCGCGGCCUAUCAGCUUGUUGGUGAGGUAAUGGCUCACCAAGGCGACGACGGGUAGCCGGCCUGAGAGGGCGACCGGCCACACUGGGACUGAGACACGGCCCAGACUCCUACGGGAGGCAGCAGUGGGGAAUAUUGCGCAAUGGGCGAAAGCGUGACGCAGCAACACCGCGUGAGGGAAGACGGCCUUAGGGUUGUAAACCUCUUUCAGAUGGGACGAAGGUGAUGCGGUGAAUAGCCGAUGUCAUUGACGGUACCGUCAGAAGAAGCUCCGGCUAACUACGUGCCAGCAGCCGCGGUAAU
This 502-nucleotide ribosomal RNA is filed under the name uncultured bacterium. Its description in RNAcentral is "bacterial SSU rRNA". It matches the Rfam family "Bacterial small subunit ribosomal RNA", at positions 28 to 524 of the family's 1533-position model. The record is from RNAcentral.